RNA transcript from Oncorhynchus keta (chum salmon), 8984 nucleotides. It is a transcript of the gene named kelch-like protein 25, with no coding region annotated. Lineage: Eukaryota; Metazoa; Chordata; Actinopteri; Salmoniformes; Salmonidae. The record is from RefSeq and is a predicted model, not a curated record. The transcript has 4 exons.
GCUGUGAGGGGAACGGCACCUCAGUACCUCCAGGCUCUGAUCAGGCCCUACACCCAAACAAGGGCACUGCGUUCAUCCACCUCUGGCCUGCUCGCCUCCCUACCACUGAGGAAGCACAGUUCCCGCUCAGCCCAGUCAAAACUGUUCGCUGCUCUGGCCCCCCAAUGGUGGAACAAACUCCCUCACGACGCCAGGACAGCGGAGUCAAUCACCACCUUCCGGAGACACCUGAAACCCCACCUCUUCAAGGAAUACCUAGGAUAGGUAGUUGGAGAAAUUAGGACAAGCGACUCCCUGGAUGUCUCUGAAACCAUGUCAGUCAGCGUCCAUGAAAACCGUAAGUCCCGGACCAGCACGGGCUCCAUGAACAUCUCACUGUUCCAUAAGCCCUCACAUCCAGACAGCGUGCUCACCCACCUCAACACCCUCCGCAAGCAGUGCAUGUUCACUGAUGUGACGCUGUGGGCGGGGGACCGCUCCUUCCCCUGCCAUCGGGCGGUACUGGCCGCAUGCAGCCGCUACUUUGAGGCGAUGUUCAGUGGCGGGCUCCGUGAGAGCCUGGACAACGAGGUGAACUUCAGAGACAGUGUGCAUCCAGAGGUGUUGGAGCUGCUGCUGGACUUUGCCUACUCUUCACGUGUCAUCAUCAACGAGGAGAACGCAGAGUCGUUGCUGGAGGCGGGAGACAUGCUGCAGUUCCACGACAUCAGAGACGCUGCUGCGGAGUUCCUGGAGAAGAACCUGCAUUUGUCCAACUGCCUGGGUAUGAUGCUACUGUCUGAUGCCCACCAAUGCAAACAGCUGUAUGAGCUCUCCUGGAGCAUGUGCCUGGUGCACUUUGAGGCGUUGCGGGACACAGAGGACUUCUACGGCCUCAACAAAGACAAGCUGCUGAACCUGAUCCUCAGCGACGAGCUGGAGAUCGAGGACGAGCAUAUCGUGUUCAAUGCUGUGAUGCGCUGGGUGCGCUACGACCUGGACGGCCGCAGAGACGACCUCCCUGAGCUGCUGGGUGGAAUCCGCCUGGCCCUGCUGCCCUCUGAGUGUCUGAUUGAGGCGGUGGCCUGCGAGGAGCUGGUGAUGUCAGACAAGAGGAGCCGGCAGAUAGUGGAGGAGGCUAUGCAGUGCAAGAAGAAGAUCCUGCAAAACGAUGGGGUGGUCACCAGCCCAUGUGCCCGGCCCCGCAAGGCAGGCCACACGUUGCUCAUCUUGGGAGGACAGACCUUCAUGUGUGAUAAGAUCUACCAGGUGGACCACAAAGCCAAGGAGAUCAUUCCCAAGUCGGUCUUGCCCAGUCCCAGGAAAGAGUUCAGCGCCUGUGCAAUUGGCUGUAAGGUCUACGUGACUGGGGGGAGGGGUUCUGAGAACGGGGUGUCCAAGGAUGUUUGGAUCUAUGACACGGUCCACGAGGAGUGGUCUAAAGGAGCUCCCAUGUUGAUAGCACGGUUUGGCCAUGGUUCAGCUGAACUGGAGAACUGGCUGUAUGUGGUGGGUGGCCACACUGCCAUAGCAGGCAUCUUCCCAGCCUCCCCCUCAGUCUCCCUCAAACAGGUAGAGCGGUAUGACCCACUCACCAACAAAUGGACCAUGAUGGCGCUGCUCAGAGAUGGUGUUAGCAAUGCAGCUGUGGUCAGCGCCAAGCUAAAGCUGUUUGUGUUUGGUGGUACCACCAUACACAGAGACAAGGCCUCAAAGGUGCAGUGCUACGACCCUCUAGAGAACCGCUGGGCCAUCGCAGCAGAAUGUCCGCAACCGUGGAGAUACACAGCCGCUGCUGUUCUGGGCAGCCAGAUCUUCAUAAUGGGCGGAGACACUGAGUUCACCGCCGCCUCCGCCUACCGCUUUGACUGUGAGACCAACCAGUGGUCUCGUGUUGGGGACAUGACUUCUAAAAGAAUGAGCUGCCAUGCGGUGGCCUCUGGGAACAAACUGUACGUGGUGGGGGGCUACUUUGGGACGCAGCGCUGCAAGACGCUAGACUGUUAUGACCCCACGUCUGAUAGCUGGAACAGUAUAACCACAGUGCCUUACUCACUAAUUCCCACUGCGUUUGUAAGCACCUGGAAACAUCUACCUGCCUAGCAAACAUGACAUGAACAAGGAGUGGUCUCCAGAAGUGGGGACUAAAGAGGGCACCUGAUUGGCAUUUCACGCAAUUGGCUUAGCAGGAGGAAAGAGUUAUGCUUAACUCAUUUGGAGGUUGAAGGAUAUCCCACCCUGACACCUGGGCAGAUGUAAAGAACUUGAGAACCCCCCAGCCACCAGGACAAUCACCAUAUCCCAGGAUUUGUUUCAGGGGUGUGCAACAUCACAAUGUUAGAUACUUACUGCACUGCUGGAGCUAGAAGCAUAAGCAUUUCGCUGCACCAGCUAUAACAUCUGCUAAUCUGUGACGUGACCAAUAAACUUUUGUUUGAUAUAGAAAUAGAUUCAUCCAGGUUAUUGUUUGUCAUGCAGAUUGUUCAGGUCAUUGUAAUUUAUGACGUUCAUUCUAAAAUACAGAUGUGACUUCUGGGGGAUUGCACUGUGUGAAAGUCUUACAUUUAGACCACAAUUAGUUGAAUGAGGUGUUCGUAAAGGGCUGGAACAAAAACCUGUAAACUCCAAGCUAUUUAAAGGCACAGUCAACUUAGUGCAUGUAAACGUCUGACCCACUGGAAUUGUGAUACAGUGAAUUGUAAGUGAAAUAAUCUGUCUGUUAACAAUUGUUGGUAAAAUUACUUGUGUCAUGCACGAAGUAGAUGUCCGAACCGACUUGCCAAAACUCUAGUUUGUUAACAAGAAAUUUGUGGAGUUGUUGAAAAAAGAGUUUUAAUGACUCCAACCUAAGUGUAUGUAAACUUCCGACUUCAACUGUAUGUACCCCACACAUACAAUUAUCUGUAGGGUUCCUCAAUCAAGCAGUGAGUAUCAAACACAAAGACCAGGGAGGUCUUCCAAUGCCUCACAAAGGGCAGCUAAAAAUUAAUGCAGACAUUGAAUAUCCCUUUUGAGCAUGAAGUUAUGAAUUACACUUUGGACGGUGGAUCAAUACACCCAGUCACUACAAAUAUGCAGGUGUCCUUCCUAACUCAGUUACCGAAGAGGAAGGAAACCAAGAGGAAGGAAACAGUUAGAGUAAAAUUGGCUGGGAUAUGACAAAAUGGAGAAUGGAUUAACAACAUUGUAAUUUCUAAACUAUACUAACCGAAAUGACAGCGUGAAAGAGAAACCUGUACAGAAUAAAAAUAUUCCAAAACAUGCAUCUUGUUUGCAAUACGGCACUAAAGUAAAAAUGCAAAACAUGUGGCAAAGAAAUUCAUUUUAUGUUCUGAAUACAAAACCUUAUGUUUGGGUAAAAUCACUGAGUACAACUUUUCAUAUUUCCAAGCAUGGUGGUGGCUUCAUCAUGUUAUGGGUAUGCUUGUCAUCGGCAAGGUUUUUUAUUUUUUUUAUUUAAAUAAACCGAGGUAAGCAGGCAAAAGAUGCAUGAAGAUGUUGGUUGAUCUGCUCAUCGACACACACAAGCUUCAGGGGAUCUGAAGGUAACCCAGGACCUGGCUGUAAAAAUUGCAAAAAGUGCAUAUGGGGUAAAAUGAGCCACAAAUUAUGUGACCAAACCUGAGUUUUAUAUCUCUCGGAUAUAGGACAGACACUUCAAAAUCUUGUUCCGUAUUAUUAAUUUAUUUUACUGUGUUUUGCUAUUUAUGAAUUAUUCAAUGCGUUUCUAUAGCAGUAAAUCAAAUCAAAGUUUAUUUGUCACGUGCGCCGAAUACAACAGGUGUAAACCUUACAGUGAAAUGCUUACUUACAGGCUCUAACCAAUGGUGCCAAAAAAAGGUGUGUGUGUGUGUGGGUAAGUAAAGAAGUAAAACAACAGUAGAAAGACAUUUGAAAAAAAGAGUGGCAAGGCUAAAUACAGACACCUGUUAGUCAGGCUUAUUGAGGUAGAAUGUACUUGUAGGUAUUGUUAAAGUGACUGUGCAUAUAUGAUGAGAGAGUAGCAGAAGCGUAAAAAGGGGUUGGCGGGUGGUGGGACACAAUGUCGAUAGCCCAGUUAGAGCAACGGUUGGUCAGGCCAAUUGAGGUAGUAUGUACAUGAAUGUAUAGUUAAAGUGACUAUGCAUAUAAGAUUAACAGAGAGUAGUAGCAGAGUAAAAGAGGGGUUGGGGGGACACACACAAUGCAAAUAGUCCGGGUAACCAUUGGUUACCUGUUCAGGAGUCUUAUGGCUUGGGUUAAAAACUGUUGAGAAGCCUUUUUGUCCUAGAUUUGGCACUCCGGUACCGCUUGCCAUGCGGUAGUAGAGAGAACAGUUUGUGGCUUUUUAGGGCCUUCCUCUGACACCGCCUGGUGUAGAGGUCCUGGAUGGCAGGCAGCUUUGCCCCAGUGAUGUACUGGGCAGUACGCACUACACUCUGAAAUGCCUUGUGCUCGCAGGCCGAGCAAUUGCCGUACCAGGCAGUGAUGCUCUCGAUGUUGCAGCUGUAGAACCUUUUGAGGAUCUCAGGACCCAUGACAAAUCUUUUUAGUUUCCUGAGGGGGAAUAGGCUUUGUCGUGCCCUCUUCAUGACUGUCUUGGUGUGUUUGGACCAAUCUAGUUUGUUGUUGAUGUGGACACCAAGGAAUUUGAAUCUCUCAACCGGUUCCACUACAGCCCCGUCGAUUAGAAUGGGGAUGUGCUCUGUGCUCCUUUUCCUGUAGUCCACAAUCAUCUCCUUAGUCUUGGUUACAUUGAGGGAUAGGUUGUUAUUCUGGCACCACCCGGCCAGGACUCUGACCUCCUCCCUAUAGGCUGUCUCGUCGUUGUCGGUGAUCAGGCCUACCACUAUUGUGUCGUCAGCAAACUUAAUGAUGGUGUUGGAGUCGUGCCUGGCCAUGCAGUCAUGGGUGAACAGGGAGUACAGGAGGGGACUGAGUACGCACCCCUGGGGAGCUCCAGUGUUGAGGAUCAGCGUGGCAGAUGUGUUGCUACCUACCCUCACCACCUGGGGGCGGCCUGUCAGGAAGUUCAUGAUCCAGUUGCAGAGGGAGGUGUUUAGUCCCAGGAUGCUUAGCUUAGUGAUGAGCUUUGAGGGUACUAUGGUGUUGAACGCUGAGCUAGGAUAAUGGUGUUGAUGUGAGCCAUUACCAGCAUUUCAAAGCACUUCAUGGCUACGGAGGUGAGUGCUAUGGGUCUGUAGUCGUUUAGGCAGGUUGCCUUUGUGUUCUUGGGCAUAGGAACUAUGGUGGUCUGCUUGAUGCAUGUUACAGACUCAAUCAGGGACAUGUUGAAAAUGUCAGUGAAGAAACCUGCCAGUUGGUCAGCACAUGCCCGGUGCACACGUCCUGGUAAUCCGUCAUGCCCCGCAGCCUUGUGUAUGUUGACCUGUUUAAAGGUCUUACUCACAUCGGCUACGGAGAGCGUGAUCACACAGUCGUCCUGAACAGCUGAUGCUCUCAUGCAUGCCUCAGCGUUGCUUGCCUCGAAGCAAGCAUAGAAGUGAUUUAGCUCGUCUGGUAGGCUCGUGUCACUGGGCAGCUUGCGGCUAUGCUUCCCUUUUUAGUCUGUAAUAGUUUGCAAGCCCUGUCACAUCCGACGUGCGUCAGAGCCGGUGAAGUAUGAUUCAAUCUUAGCCCUGUAUUGACGCUUUGCCUGUUUGAUGGUUCUUCGCAGGGCAUAGCGGGAUUUCUUGUAAGUUUCCGGGUUAGAAUCCCGCACUUUGAAAGCGGCAGCUCUACCCUUUAGCUCAGUGCAAAUGUUGCCUGUUAUCCAUAGCUUCUGGUUGGGGUAUGUACAUACAGUCACUGUGGGGACAAUGUUCUCAAUGUACUUAUUGAUAAAGCCAGUGACUGAUGUGGUGUAUUCCUCAAUGUCAUUGGAAGAAUCCCGGAACAUGUUCUCGUCUGUGAUAGCAAAGCAGUCCUGUAGUUUAGCAUCUGCUUCAUCUGACCAUUUUUUUAUAGACCGAGUCACUGAUGCAUCCUGCUUUCAUUUUUGCUUGUAAGCGGGAAUCAGGAGGAUAACGUUGUGGUCGGAUUUACCAACUGGAGGGCGAGGGAGAGCUUUGUACGCGUCUCUGUGUGUGGAGUACAGGUGAUCUAUAAUUUUUUCCCUCUGGUUGCACAUUUAACAUGUUGAUAGAGAUUUGGUAGAACUGGUUUAAGCUUCCCUGCAUUAAAGUCUGCGGCCACUAGGAGCGCCGCCUCUGGGUGAGUGGUUUCCUGUUUGCUUAUUUCCUUAUACAGCUGACUGAGUGCGGUCUUAGUGCCAGCAUCUGUCUGUGGUGGUAAAUAAACAGCCACGAAAAGUAUAGUGGAGAACUCUCUAGGCAAGUAGUGUGGCCUGCAGUUUAUCACAAUAUACUCAACUUCUGGCGGGCAAAAUCUAGAGACUUCCUUAGAUUUCGUGCACCAGCUGUUGUUUACAAAUAUGCACAGACCCCCCCCCCCUCGUCUUACCGGAGUGUGCUGUUCUAUCCUGCCGGUGCAGAGUGUAUCCUUCUAGCUGAAUAUCCAUGUCGUCAUUCAGCCACAAUUCCGUGAAGCAUAGGAUAGGAUUCAAUGUUAAAUGUUUUUUGAUACCUACAUAGGUCCUAAAAAAUUCUAAAUCAAAUGGCUAAAGGAUACAUUUUAUGAACAACUUAUAACAAUUCCAUACGUUAGCUUAGUAGAUAUUGUGAUCUAAGGACUUAAACCUACAGGGGGUUUAAUUGCACAUACAGAACUAACGUUAACAAUAUGCAUGCCAGACAUUCCUGCUUUAUUUGACCUUUAUUUAACUUGGCAAGUCAGUUUAAGAACAAAUUCUUAUUUACAUGUAUCUUAUUUACAAUCACGGCGUACCCUGGCCAAACCUGGACGACGCUGGGUCAAUUGUGCCCCGCCCUAUGGGACUCCCUAUCACAGCCAGAUGUGAUUCAGUCUGGAUUCAAACCAGGGACUGUGAUGACAUCGCUUUCACUGAGAUGCAGUGCCUUAGACCGCUGCGCCACUCAGGAGCCCUGAGGGUUGACGAGAAAUGAACUGCUUCUCCUAGUUUUUAUGAGAAAUAUUACUGUGAUGAAAAUUCCAGAUUGUCUGCAUAAUCAAAUAACAUACAGCUCAGACACCCAUAUAGACCCCACAAUAAAUGCCACCAGGGGCUCUUCACAGCCCAAGUCCAAAACGAAUUCAUGCCAACACACAGUAUUUACUAUACAGAGCCAUGAUCGCAUGGAACUCCCUUCCAUCUCCAAUUACUCAAGCAAAAUGACCAUUAAAAAUGUAUAAAACAUCUCAUGGCACAAUAGGGACUGAAAUUAUGCACACACUAACAGUCUACACAUUAUUUAGUUGUAUUGUUUGUAUAUCGUUGUAUUUUACAUUUGUGUGACCUUGUCUAUCAGUGUAUCUGUGGAAGAAUAGCUGCUGCUUCUAAUGGGGAUCUGAAUAAACCAAUAAGUUGUGUUGAUGUCUUGAGUCUGUAUUCCUCAUUGGCGCUGUUUUGUCUAUUUCAGUGUUUUGCCUCUGAGACAUGAGACUUUGGUUUCACUGUGUAUCCAUCCGCCUCUCUGUUCACAGAUGUCACAUGUUUCCGGCCAUAGUGACAAGCAGAGGCUUGCUGGGGCUUGCCUGCCUGUAGACCAACGAGGUGUCAAGCGAGUGAAGGGUUUGGUUCCGCCAGGGUCGCCCAGCUAUAGCUGUUACGCCAAACACCCCAUCGGAGGUAAAGACUGUUCCAGAUUAUCUGAGGGGUCCAACGGCAGAACACAAGCGCCUCCAAGUGGGAUGCCAUUUCCUGGAUCUUCUCCCUCACAUCACAAAGAGACAUCCAUACCAUGCUUCCUAACAGUCUUAUUCAUGACAAUGGAGAGAAACACCCUUUAUAGACAGACAACCGAUUUGGGUAUCAUUGCUCAGUAUAUCUAACUGAGGCCAUUUUUAAAUGUCGUAUUAUUUGAGGGAUCCCCUAUUAGAUCAUUCCAGCUUUGAACCCAGGCGAUGUAGUCUUAAGGGGUGAUUGUUUUUUGUAAAUGACAAUUAAUUAACUACAGUAAGCAGGAACACUAUCCCUUCCAUCAUAAAAUGUGGUGCUGUUUGUUAGCGCUUUGCUGUAGGCUUUCAGCACACACUGUUAAUGAGCCUCAGCAGACACUCAGAUCCAACAAGCAGCCCUACACUACAUUGCAAGUCAACUCUUUAAAACAAUGAGAUACUGUAUAUCAAAGAAACACAACACGUAUCAUCUAACUUUCAGGGGAAGUACAUGUUAAAGUAUAAGCAGUUGUACUGUAUUUACUUUGUAUCUAUGAAACAAUUCAGCCUGGGACUCCUGUCAACACCACAGCACAAUUUGCUAUUGUUGACCUCUUAUCAUUGAAGCAUUUUUUGAAGGUAUGAAACGAUACCCAUUACUCACUGGUUUAAUCAAGAUUGUUUCCAUGUCAUUUCAACCCCCAAAUUAAAUGUGAUUACAUUUAAAAACUGUGAAAACUGAUUUGGAUUAGUAAAAAGUAAUCAACGUAGGGGAAUUGUCUUUUUUUCACCCACCUUUUAACCUAAAUCCAAUGGACAUGGUGACAUUUCUUGUUGAUUUCAAGUUGAAUUCACAUUUGUUGACAACUCAACCAAAUUUAAAAUCAAAACUAGAUGUUGAAAUUGCAUCUGUACCCACUGUGGUUGAUGUGUGUUUUAGUUAUACAACUUUGGCACUAUACAUUUGAUAAUAUGUCAAUGAGGGUACUAAGCUUUGAUAUUGGGAUUUUUCCAGGGGUGAAUUUGGUUUAUAUCUGGAGUUCAUUUGUGGAAUGAUAGCUGCCCAGAAGCUACAACCUUUUUCUUCAGAAGCCCCGUAGGAGGGGGGACUUUUUUUUAAAUGAUAAAGACUCACUUUUGAACUACAGUUACUUUUCCAUGUGGGGGGUAGCUUCAAGGACUGUAAUAAUGCCUCCUUGUGAACUGAAUUCCUUGUGCCUAAUACUGGUAGAAAGGUUUGUCAUAAAUCCACUCUGUUAAAGUGUUUGAAUAAAUUACUUUUUAAUUUA